This 9249-nucleotide long non-coding RNA is filed under the name Lynx pardinus (Iberian lynx). Lineage: Eukaryota; Metazoa; Chordata; Mammalia; Carnivora; Felidae. The record is from RNAcentral.
ACAGGUGAUGCUGACUUUGGAGGACAAGGACAUGAAGGGGUUCACGUGGGCCAUAGCCCCAGCCUUGACCUCCCUGGGCUACCUGCUUAUACUGCUGGUCUCCAUCUUUCCCUUCUGGGUGCGGCUUGUAAACGAGGAGUCCCACGAAGUGUUUUUCAGUGGCCUGUUUGAGAACUGUUUCCAUAUCAAAUGCUGGAAGCCUCGACCCUUAUCAGGUAAGGAGGGAUGGAGGUGGGGAUGGGGCAGAGGGAGAUGGGGCCAGUGUGGGCAGUUUGGGUGACAGAGAGGACAGAAUUUAAUAAGCCCCUAAGGGCAUUUUCUGAGUCUCUACUUUUGGGGUUAGAGGAAAGUAGUGGCCAGGAGAAGGUUGAUAAUAUCAGGUUGACCACCAGGGUCAGGAGCAAAUGUGUCAGCAACAAAGUUUAUUUGCGGGGUAGGACUGGCUCCAUCUAGGAUGGAGGGGUGGGGGUCCUGCCCUACUCUGUGAGAUUGGAUUUCAGCCUCACUUCCAAACACCCGUCCAACUGUGGGUGGCUGCUCUACAGAGAAUGUGCUCAGGCCUGAGGACAUUUCGAAGGGAAUGCACAGAAAUACGAGCUCAGUGGACUGUGGAUGCACUUGAGGCUGUGUUUUUAUAAGGGGCUUGAGAGGGUCAGGGGGAUGUCUGUCUUGGAAAGGAGGUGAACCUGGGGGAUAUAGGGGUUCUCUCCUGAUAACAGAAGAGGAGAAGCCUCUUUGGGGGAAGAUGGGCCACACUGUGUGAGCUCCUUGACCUGGAGUUGCUCAGCCUCGGUACUACUGACACUUUGGCUGGAAAAUCUUUGUUGCGGGGCUCUCCUGUUGUUUGCAGGACAGUUAGUAGCACCCCUGCCCUCUACGGCCCACUUGAUGCCAGUAGCACCCCUUACCCUCAGUUGUGACAACCAACUUACCUCUUAGCAUUGCCAAAUAUCCCCGGGGUGAGGAGGUGCAAACCUGCCUCCAGUUGAAAACCAUUGGUUUAGCCUAAGAGUAGAUUCUAGAAGUUUAGCGAUACCUUUGUCUUAGGAGUUUAGUGAUACGUUUGUCUUUUUGUCCCACCCCCAGCUGUCCAUCUCUGCGUGCUUAGAAGGCUAUAAAAACUCAUAUUAACGGCAGCUCUUUCUGCCCAUGGGUCCUGUCCCCAUGCUUUAAUAAAAUCAUCUUUUUUUGCACCACCCCCCCCAAAGAAACCCUAAAAACCUCAUUUUAACAUGGGUCUGAAUCAUGCCAAUAAUAGGGGAAUAAAUCACCCUGUCAUCAAGUCCCUUGCUCUGCUAUUUUGGAUCUAUUUCAUGACUUGUGUUAACUGGGAUAAUUAAAUAAGCAUUCCCCACAGAGUUCAGAACAUCUCAACCUCACAGGUUCUGAUUUUCCACCAGCCACUUAUUUCAGUGUGACCAGUAUUGAUGGAGUUCUUCACAUUUCCACAUGCAACUUGUAUCAUUUAUGUUGCUUACUAAAAUGACUGUUUGUCCAUCUAAUUUUUUUCCCCCAUACACUUCCAUGUCAUGGGGAACAAAAUGUUGGAACCAGAGCAUUCAUUGUUGGGGGCAAAGUGGAGGGGUCAGAGCUGGGGUCCCAGGCCAUGCUGUGGGACUGAGGGUGGUAAGCUGGUGGGGGGGGGCUUCUCUUUGCAGGCUCUGCGGGGCUCUGUCCCUUGUCAUGGGUCAGGUGUCCAGCUGCAGCCCAGCCUCCCCUCCCCCACAGUGUACAUCAUUCUCGGCCGCGUUUUCCUGCUGUCCGCGGUUGUCCUGUCUUUCCUCACCACCUUCAUCCUGGUGUCCUUUGCAUCUCAGCUGUUUCCGAGGACCCGGAAGCACAAUUUGGUGUCAGCCUUCAUCAGCUUCCUCACAGGUGUGGAAUAGGCAGGCAAGCCUUGUUGUCAGGCAGGCCUCAGCCUUGGGAAGGGGCUGGGGAGGGGCCCAAAGGCAGGGAGAUGGUUGGUCUCUGUGGUGUCAGGAGAGAGAAUUUUUAGGGACCCUCUCACCUGUGGCCUUCUCGGAGGCAGCCUUCCCCCCCACCCCGGAUCACAGUCCCUCUCUCUGAGGCUGCACAGCACCCUGUACUUCCAGCUAGCUCCACCCUCACUAUGUUGGCUUGGGGUCAUUUGUCUGGGGGUCUUUUUACCAUAAUCUCUAUCCCAGUGACUUUCAUAGAAUCUGACACAGAAUGAUAAUACACAAGUGAAAUAUGUGAGUGAAAUAUAAGUGUUUGUUGGAUGAAUGGAUGGAAGACACCAUCUCUGCCCUUUGGAACCUUUUGACUUUAAAAGGCUGGCCAAGGCCCUACCCUGGGAGGCUUCCAUCACAUGGAGGAGGUGGAACGCUCACAGUGGGAAAAUCAGGUUGAAUUGCACCCAAAGCAUCACACCCAGAGGGCCCCGUCUGGAGUCAGCCAAUGGCACAGGCACAGAGGGUACCCGGGAAAGGGAUUUCUGGUUAUGGGGCCUCUGGGAGGUGAGGCACAUGGGCUUUGAAAUGUGUUGGGAAGGAGGGCAAGACAGGCAUGUGGGGUAGAGGUUAUUGACUCUGAGAGGGCACAGGUGUGGGCUGGAGAAAGGAGCCUCCAUGUAGGAACCAUACAGGCUGUAAGCCAUGUGACUCUGUCUGAUUAAGAGCAAAGGUGGGAACCAUGUGAGGAGAUCAAGAGUGCUUCCCUAUGACCCUGCAGGGGCCAGUGCCUUCCUGGCCUUGUUGCUGCAUGCCCUGGAGAUCCAGAAUCUGAGGAUGAAGCCCAGCCCCCCCAAGUUCUCGGUGCAGUGGCCUUACUACGUUCUGGGCUUUGCCAUCCUUCUGUUCAUAGUGGCUGGUGAGUGUCCUGGGGCUGGUGCCCUUCUCCCUGCCCUCUGUCUGGAUUCAGAAGCCAUGGACACUCUAGAGCAACACUGUCCAAAACUGUGGUCACUAGCUACUUGUGGCCAUUUCAUUACUUAAAAUGAAAUAAAUAGAAAUUCAGUUUCUCGGUCAUGCUAGCCACAUUUCAGAUGUUCAGUAACCACAUUAUUAUGUGUCUAGUGGCUGCCAUAUUGAAUGGUGCAGAUGCAGAUAUUUCCAUCGUUGCAGAAAGUUCUACUCAACAGCACUGCUCUAGAGCCUCAGCCCUAUAGCCCAUCUUCCUCCUCUUUGACUUUGGAACCAACCCCCAGAUCUCCUAUUCUGUCUUACUCUGUCCUGGCUCCUAAGGGUUUCUAUGCCUAUCUAUAUCUAUCUCGGAAUCUACAAUCUUAUUCACCUCAGUCUCGCUUUACUCUCUUAUUUUAUAUACAUCACCGUCUAAGUCUCGAUCCUAUUUGAUUUUGUCCUUUUUCCUAAUCUUCUUCCUACUAUAUUAAUCUGACCCAUGACAUAAUCUGUGUUAACUUGAUUUUAUUAUACACUGAAUAUAUAAAAACAUUUAUAAUAUAUAAGAGGUAAUUAAAAAUAAACUGUGCAUCCAUUUCCACCAUAUAGUUUAAGAACUAGCCAUAUUUUCAUGGAAUCCAUUGUUUGUAAGUUACACCUUUAUUUUAUUUACCACUGAAAGAGAAAAAAGGAUGCUAGGAAUAAUUAUAAGGUGGUAUAACUUGUAAGGCACAUCCUUAUUUCAGAGAUGUUAAGUGAAGAAAAUUGGCUUGUCUGCAUUAAUGAAAUAUGUUAGAAUAUUAAGAAUCUUUGAAGUCCUGCCCCCUCAACCAUGUGGCUCUUCCUGAUCUUGUCCUCCUCUCUCCCCUCGGGAACCAAUUAUUCUGCAAUUUAUGAUAAUCAUAUUACUACACACAUAUAUAUCCUUAAUAUAUUACUUAGUCUUACAUGUUUUAAAACUUUGUAUAAUCAUACUAUAUUUAUUUUUCUGGAACUUGUUAUGUUUGAUCAACAUUGUAACCUCCAUGGUAAUAUGAGGAACUCUUAAGGUUCAUUCAUUUUUACCAUCUUAAGUAUUUAACUGUAUAACUAAGCUUGCCUGUAGAAGGAAUAUGGUAUUUCUCUGUGGGAGAAUUUUAAGCUCACGAUUCAGUUUCUUAAAUGACUGUAGGACUAUUUAGGUAUUUUAUUUCCUUUUGAGUUAGUUUCAGUAAUUUAUAUAUGUCUAUAAGCUUAUACAUUUUGUUUAAAAUUUGAAAUUUAUUGGCAUAAGUUUAUUCAAAAUGUUUUCUUUUUUAACUCUUUAUUUUGUGAUGCACCUGUAGUGAUGUGCUUCUUUUUUCAUACCUAAUUUUCUUUUUUCAUUGCCAAUUUUGUCAGAGGUUUACCAUAUUUUUAGUCAUUUCAAAGAACCAGGUUUAAGCUUUCUUGAACCUUCAUAUUUUAUGUUUGUUUUCUAUUGAAUUAAUUUUUACUUCUUAUUUUGAACUUCCUUCCCUACUUCUUUUUUGCAUUUAUUCUGCUAUUCCGUUUCCAGCUUCUUAAAUCACGAUCCAAACUCAUGGCUUACUUCUUCUUUUCUAAGUAGACAAUUAAAGCUCUAAUUUCCCUGUAAGAAUUGCUUUAUUUGAAUCUCCCAUUUUCAUAUGUAAUAUUUUAUGUUAUUGUUCUAUUUCAAACAUUUUCCAGUUCCCCUUAUGAUAUUUUGGAUCCAUGAAGUAUUUUAAAAUAUACUUUUAAAUUUCUAAGCAUGUAAUUUUUUACUGUAUCUUGUGUUAAUGAUUUUAACUUAAUUUCAAUUUGAUGAGAGAUCAUGGUCUGUAUAAUCCUAAUGUGUUCAGAUUUAUUGAGACAUGUUUUAUAGUCUAGUUUGAGGUCCACUUUCAUGUUUUAUGUUGAAUACAACUUUUCAUUUAUAAACAUUAGAUCAAGCUUGUUUAUUAUAUUGUUCAAAUCUUGAUUUAGAAUUGUUCUGUUUUACUGGUGAAUUGAACUUUUAAAAAUUUUUUUUUCAAUGUUUUUUAUUUAUUUUUGGGACAGAGAGAGACAGAGCAUGAACGGGGGGAGGGGCAGAGAGAGAGGGAGACACAGAAUCGGAAACAGGCUCCAGGCUCCGAGCCAUCAGCCCAGAGCCCGACGCGGCCAUCAGCCCAGAGCCCGACGCGGGGCUCGAACUCACGGACCGCGAGAUCGUGACCUGGCUGAAGUCGGACGCUUAACCGACUGCGCCACCCAGGCGCCCCUAAAUUGAACUUUUAUUUAAUCAUUAUGCCAUGAUCUUUUUUAUUUCUAGAAAUCCCUUUUGUUAAAGUCUGUUUUAUCUGAUAUUACUCUAGCUAUUUCUACAUUCUUUAGGUUAGUAUUUGCCUGUUAUAUAUCUUUUUGAUCUUUUACUUAUAUGUAACACAUAGCUUAUGAUUGUAUUUUUUCAUCUAGUCUUACAAUCUUUGUUUUUUUAAAUGUUUAUUUAUUUUUGAGAGAGAGAGAGAGAGAGAGAGAGAGAGAGAAUGAGAAUGAGAAUACAAGUGGGGGAGGGGCAGAGAGAAGGGGAGACACAGAAGCCGAAGCAGGCUCCAGGCUCUGAGGUCUCAGUACAGAGCCUGACUCAGGGCUCAGUCUCACGAACUGUGAGAUGAUGACCUGAGCCAAAGUCGGGCACUUAAUCCACGGAGUCACCUAGGCUCCCCCUACACUCUUUGUCUUUUAACUGGAGCAUUUAUUAUUGACUGACAUUUAUUGUGACUACUGAUACAUUUGAUCCUUUUUUUUGAAGUUUAUUUUAUUUACUUUGAGAGAGAGAGAGUGAGAGUGGGAGAGGGGCAGAGAGAGAGGAAGACAGAGAAUCCCAAGCAGGCUCCACACUGCCAGUGCAGAUCCCAACGUGGGGCUCGAUCUCAAGAACUGUGAGAUUAUGACCUCAGCCAAUAUCAAGAGUUGGACACCUGAUUGACUGAGCCACCCAGGUGCCCCAUAUUUGUAUUUUUUCUACCACCUUACCUCGUGCUUUCAAUUUUUUCUGCUCCCCAGUCCCACCUCUCUUGCCUUGCUUCUAAUUGAUUGACUUUUAUCUAUACAUUUCUCAUUAUAUCCUCCCCCUCUUUAGUUUGGAAGUUAUGAAAUCUAUUUGUAUUCUUGUAGUAGUUACUCUUGACAUUUUAAUACAUUUACUUAACAAAGUUGGAAGUUCAUCAACACAUUUAUUUUCUUCAUAAGUAAUACAAGGUACUUCCCUCCUAAUUUAUAUGCUAUUUUGCACAAUGUUUUAGUUUCUUCUGUUUUCUUUUAGUUCUAUAUAUUUGACAGUAUUGUUACUUUAUGCAUUUAAUAUUUAUUUGUUUAAAUUUACCCACAUAUUUAUCAGUUUAGAUGCUCAUCAAACCUCAGACCUUCUGUCUAAGGACCCUCUGUCCUUCUGCCUGAAAUACAUCCUUUAUAAUGUGUUUUAGUGAGGUUCAGUUAGAGAUACACUUUCUCUCAUAUUUUGUUUGUAUGAAAUUAUCUUCCUUUCAUUUUUGUUUACUAAAAUUAAUUUUGCCAUACUUACAUUUUUUUAGAUAGUAUUUUUUUAAGUUUAUUUAUUUUGAGAGAGAGAGAGAGAAUAUCCCGUUCUCAAACUCACGAACUGCAAAAUCAUGACCUGAGCCCAAAUCAAGAUGCUUAACCAACUGAGCCACCCAGGCGGCCUACUGUACUUACAUUUUUUUUUAAUUUUUUUUUUAACGUUUAUUUAUUUUUUGAGACAGAGAGAGACAGAGCAUGAAUGGGGGAGGGUCACAGAGAGAGGGAGACACAGAAUCUGAAACAGGCUCCAGGCUCUGAGCUGUCAGCUCAGAGCCCGACGCNCCCGACGCGGGGCUUGAACCCACGGACCGUGAGAUCAUGACCUGAGCCGAAGUCGGACGCUCAACCGACUGAGCCUCCCAGGCGCCCCUGUACUUACAUUUUUAAGUUGACAGUAUUCUCACAGCAUUCAAGAUAUUCUGUUAUUACUUUACCACUUCCAUUGUUGUUGUUAAGCUGACUCUGUAAAAAUAUCAUUCUUUUGGGACACUUGGGUGGCUCAGUCGGUUGAGUGUCAGACUUUGGCUCAGGUCAUGAUCUCGAGGUUCGUGAGUUCGAGCCCCGCAUCAGGCUGUCUGCUGUCAGUGCAGAGUAUGCUCGGAUCCUGUGUCUCCCUCUCUCUCUGCCCUUCCCCCACUCUCUCUCGUGCUCUCUCUCUGUCAAAAAUAAAUAAACAUUUAAACAGUAUAUCAUUUAAAAAAAAUUUUAAUGUUUGUUUAUUUUUGAGAGAGAGAGACAGACAGAGCACAAGCUGGGGAGGGGCAGAGAGAGAGGAAGACACAGAAUUUGAAGCGGGCUCCAGGCCCCACACCGUUAGCACAGAGCGUGGGGCUCGAACUCAUGAACUGUGAGAUCAUGACCUGAGCCGAAGUCAGAGGCUCAACUGACUGAGCCACCCAGGCACCCCUAUAUCAUUCUUUUUGAGGCACUCUUUGUUUUCUGUAAGGCUUUCUUGGGCAUUUUGCAGAGUGUAGAUAUUUGUGUUAUGAUUUGUGGUGUGAACUGAGUCUGAGGAGUAAUGUCUUUCAGAAUUUCUCAAAUAUUUUUAUCUUCUUUCUAUAUUCUUUCCCUCUUUUCCAGGAAGACGUAUGUUAGACUUUGUUACUGUAUCCUGCAUGUGUGUGUCUCUCUCUCUUGCUUUCCAUUUCUUUGCUUUCCCCCCCCCCCCCUUCUAUCUCUUUGUCUUUCUGGGCUGUAUUCUGAAUAACUUGUAUAGAUGUAUCUUCAAUUUAAUCCAUUCACUUUUUAGCUGUGUCUGAUCUGCUAUUUAACUUAUCCAUUAAUUAUUUUAGUCAAUCUGUUUUUAUAACCAGAAGUUAUAUUUUUCCUUAAUGCUUGUUAUUUUUUAUACUCUUUUCUCUACUUAUAUUUUUAAUCUAUUCUAUAAAUAUAUUUUUAUUAUACAUGUUAAACAUACUUUACAUUCUGUGUUUAUAAGUUUAACAACUGAAAUACAAGUCUGUCUGUUGGCUGCUGCUUUUGCAGGCUUUUGCUUAUGGCAUCUUAUUUCUUGGUACAGUUGUGAUUUUUGACUGUGAAUUAUUUUCCUUGAAAAAAAUUAUUUUUUGGUGGAAAUCCUUUGAAGCCUGUAUGUAAAGUAUUUUCUCAAAAAAGGAUCUGCAUUUGUUUCUGCUUGGUGCUUAUAUGCACAACUAGCCUAGAAUCACAUAGGUAUUUGUGUAGUUGCAGAUCCAUAUAAUAGCUAGCCUCUGUUGAUGAGUUCUUAGUCAAUGUUGGUAACUUCAAAGUUCUAGCUUUGUAGACCCUUGUUAGAUUCAUCUUGAGUAGGCCCUGGGCUUUUCCUCUCAUUUUAUGUGUCCCAAAAGGCCCGCAGAAUGGAAACUCAGGGUCACCGGAGUUGAGUGUAUGUCUCCAAGGUGAAGGCUAAUUGUGUGCUUGCUUAACUCUCUAGGUUCCUGUUUUCACUAGAGUUUUGUUUCUAAGAAUGCCUUACUCUGAUGCCAGUUUGCUGAUAUAUUUACAAAUUAGUUUUUGAAGAAAAAUCUUAUUUAGAAUUUUUGUCGUUUUUAGUGGGAGGGUAUGUAGUCUGCUAUAUUGCUGAAAAUAGAAGUUGUCCUUUAUCUGAGUCUUUAAUACAGCAUUUACUGUUCACUCAAGAUACCUCUAUUUGUUUUAUGACAUCAAUUCUCUUCUUCCAUUUUACUUUACUGAGGGUCUUGAGUUGCAUCAAAAAGCCUGGGUUUUAUGUCUUAAACCUCUUUUUCUUGCCUAUUAAUAGUUAGACAGUUGCUAAGAUGCCUUCCAACACUGGCUGUGCUUCUGUGAGUUUAUCCAUAAAUUUGUAUGCCUUGUCUUGUGAUGGGUCCUGUUUUCCCAUCUAUCUCUGUAAUUCUCUACAUCGGAGGGGAGAACUAGGGAAGGUGGGUGCAGACCGGAAGGGGUCACACAUUAAAGGAGGGAGUGCCUGACCUCUAGGGCACGGAGAGCUCGACUCAACUCUGACCUGAACUUUUGCUGUCACCCAGGUGCCAUCUGCCUCUUUCAAGAAGCAGCCUGCCUUCGCUGCCGUUUGUUGCCCAAUUCCCAGAGUAUCCAGGAGACCCAAGGGGUCAUACACCUGGAGAAUAUGGAGAGUCUGGGAGGAGACCUGAGCUCAAUACAAAAGGAGACACUGCUGAAGGAAGAAACAAUUAUCUAGUCCAGGAGAGCGUCCUCCGCCAUCGGCAGCUGUGUGAGUGCGUGUGUGGAGGCGUAAGCGGCAGCCAGUUUCUGCUGUUUUUGGUGAGCUUCCUGAGUGUCAGAUCCAUGUUCUACUUCCCCACACUCACAGUGAUUCUGUCUUGCUUGUAUUUGCAAUUCGUUAAAA